RNAcentral lists this transfer RNA (69 nucleotides) under Furcifer oustaleti (Oustalet's chamelion). RNAcentral's name for it is "tRNA-Phe". It matches the Rfam family "tRNA". From Rfam's summary of the family: Transfer RNA (tRNA) molecules are approximately 80 nucleotides in length. Their secondary structure includes four short double-helical elements and three loops (D, anti-codon, and T loops). Lineage: Eukaryota; Metazoa; Chordata; Lepidosauria; Squamata; Chamaeleonidae. The record is from RNAcentral.
GUUAUUGUAGCUUAUAACUUAAAGCAUAGUACUGAAAAUACUAAAAUGGACCUACUGCGCCCAAAAACA